GACGAACGCUGGCGGCGUGCUUAACACAUGCAAGUCGAACGGAAAGGCCCUGCUUUUGUGGGGUGCUCGAGUGGCGAACGGGUGAGUAACACGUGAGUAACCUGCCCUUGACUUUGGGAUAACUUCAGGAAACUGGGGCUAAUACCGGAUAGGAGCUCCUGCUGCAUGGUGGGGGUUGGAAAGUUUCGGCGGUUGGGGAUGGACUCGCGGCUUAUCAGCUUGUUGGUGGGGUAGUGGCUUACCAAGGCUUUGACGGGUAGCCGGCCUGAGAGGGUGACCGGCCACAUUGGGACUGAGAUACGGCCCAGACUCGUACGGGAGGCAGCAGUGGGGAAUAUUGCACAAUGGGCGGAAGCCUGAUGCAGCAACGCCGCGUGCGGGAUGACGGCAUUCGGGUUGUAAACCGCUUUCGCCUGUGACGAAGCGUGAGUGACGGUAAUGGGUAAAGAAGCACCGGCUAACUACGUG
This 468-nucleotide ribosomal RNA is filed under the name uncultured bacterium. RNAcentral describes it as "partial 16S ribosomal RNA". It matches the Rfam family "Bacterial small subunit ribosomal RNA", at positions 28 to 507 of the family's 1533-position model. The record is from RNAcentral.